UGGCGGCGUGCCUAACACAUGCAAGUCGAACGGAGUCGGCCCCGCGAGGGACUGACUUAGUGGCGAACGGGUGAGUAACGCGUGAGCAACCUGCCUUUCAGUGGGGGACAACAGUUGGAAACGACUGCUAAUACCGCAUAAAGCAUUUUGAUCGCAUGAUCGAGAUGCCAAAGAUUUAUUGCUGAAAGAUGGGCUCGCGUCUGAUUAGAUAGUUGGUGGGGUAACGGCCCACCAAGUCGACGAUCAGUAGCCGGACUGAGAGGUUGAACGGCCACAUUGGGACUGAGAUACGGCCCAGACUCCUACGGGAGGCAGCAGUGGGGAAUAUUGGGCAAUGGGGGAAACCCUGACCCAGCAACGCCGCGUGAAGGAAGAAGGCUUUCGGGUUGUAAACUUCUUUUACCAGGGACGAAGAAAGUGACGGUACCUGGAGAAAAAGCCACGGCUAACUACGUGCCAGCAGCCGCGGUAAUACGUAGGUGGCAAGCGUUGUCCGGAUUUACUGGGUGUAAAGGGCGUGUAGGCGGAGAUGCAAGUCAGAUGUGAAAUCCCCGGGCUUAACCCGGGAACUGCAUUUGAAACUGUAUCCCUUGAGUAUCGGAGAGGCAGGCGGAAUUCCUAGUGUAGCGGUGAAAUGCGUAGAUAUUAGGAGGAACACCAGUGGCGAAGGCGGCCUGCUGGACGACAACUGACGCUGAGGCGCGAAAGCGUGGGGAGCAACCAGGAUUAGAUACCCUGGGUAGUCCACGCUGUAAACGAGGAAUAUUAGGUGUGGGGGGAUUGACCCUUUCCGUCCCGCAGUAAACCCAUUAAGUAUUCCACCUGGGGGAGUAGGACCCCAAGGUGGAAAUUCAAAGGAUUGGACGGGGGCCGGCACAAGCAGUGGAUUAUGGUGUUUUAAUUGGACGCACCGCGAAAGACCUUUACCGGGUUUUGACAUCCUACUAAGAAAGUAGAGAUACAUUAGGUGCCUUUCGGGGAAAGUAGAGACAGGUGGUGCAUGGUNGUCGUCAGCUCGUGUCGUGAGAUGUGGGGUUAAGUCCCGCAACGAGCGCAACCCCUAUUGUUAGUUGCUACGAAAGAGCACUCUAGCGAGACUGCCGUUGACAAAACGGAGGAAGGCGGGGACGACGUCAAAUCAUCAUGCCCCUUAUGUCCCGGGCUACACACGUAAUACAAUGGCGAUCAACAGAGGGAAGCAAAGCCGCGAGGCAGAGCAAAUCCCCAAAAGUCGUCUCAGUUCGGAUUGCAGGCUGAAACCCGCCUGCAUGAAGUUGGAAUUGCUAGUAAUCGCGGAUCAGCAUGCCGCGGUGAAUACGUUCCCGGGCCUUGUACACACCGCCCGUCACACCAUGAGAGUCGGGAACACCCGAAGUCCGUAGUCUAACCGCAAGGAGGGCGCGGCCGAAGGUGGGUUCGAUAAUUGGGGUGAAGUC
RNAcentral lists this ribosomal RNA (1436 nucleotides) under uncultured organism. RNAcentral describes it as "16S ribosomal RNA". It matches the Rfam family "Bacterial small subunit ribosomal RNA". The record is from RNAcentral.